AUUGAACGCUGGCGGCAGGCCUAACACAUGCAAGUCGAGCGGAUGAAGGGAGCUUGCUCCUGGAUUCAGCGGCGGACGGGUGAGUAAUGCCUAGGAAUCUGCCUGGUAGUGGGGGAUAACGUCCGGAAACGGGCGCUAAUACCGCAUACGUCCUGAGGGAGAAAGUGGGGGAUCUUCGGACCUCACGCUAUCAUAUGAGCCUAGGUCGGAUUAGCUAGUUGGUGGGGUAAAGGCCUACCAAGGCGACGAUCCGUAACUGGUCUGAGAGGAUGAUCAGUCACACUGGAACGGAGACACGGUCCAGACUCCUACGGGAGGCAGCAGUGGGGAAUAUUGGACAAUGGGCGAAAGCCUGAUCCAGCCAUGCCGCGUGUGUGAAGAAGGUCUUCGGAUUGUAAAGCACUUUAAGUUGGGAGGAAGGGCAGUAAGUUAAUACCUUGCUGUUUUGACGUUACCAACAGAAUAAGCACCGGCUAACUUCGUG
This 484-nucleotide ribosomal RNA is filed under the name uncultured bacterium. RNAcentral's name for it is "partial 16S ribosomal RNA". It matches the Rfam family "Bacterial small subunit ribosomal RNA", at positions 30 to 507 of the family's 1533-position model. The record is from RNAcentral.